CCAGCACAAGUGAAGGCCCAAAAUUGUCUGGCUUUACACCGAUGAGCGACCCACAUAGCUCUGCGCCACUACGCACGCACGAGCAGGACUCAAGGACGAGCUAGUCGCAGCCUCAACGCUCGCGCGGUCGCGCGGCGCUGCGCUCGGCCGAUCCCGUGCUGUCGGCCGUCAUCCCAUCCCAUCCCCCCGUCCCGUCGCCGCUCGAUAACCGGGUCCCUGGCUGCUAGCUUCAGUCGCCACCCGCCAUCUGCCGCUGGCUGUCCUCCUUGGGCCUCCCUACUCCCCAGCAAACAGCACCCUUGAGGCCCUAAACUGAAUUCAUGAGAUGAUUAUGAGGCUCUGACCUUGAUGCAGGUAUUUAAAGAAGAGUUUCCUCAGUAUUUGUUCGAUUCGCUUCAUUGAUUUCACCUGUAGCGAUGGAAUAGAGAUUGAUUUGAUAAAAAAAUCAUUGUUACUGUCUAUGUUCAGUAAUGUGCUGAAUAUGCUGCUUGUGUGGGUAAUGAAACUUUUCUUUUGCGGGGAUGUGUGGAUAGACAAAGGGAAAAGUUCGUUCAAUUACAUGAGUUGGCACAGUUCACCUUCGCUGUAACAGUUUGUUGUACGGGUUGUAUGAGUGUAUGCAUUGUGUAUGUUAGUAUUUAAGUAUGGAUGAUUUAAUCUGAAUCAGUAUGUGUGGAAACAUGCGUAUUUUUUUGUAAACAUGUGUAAUGGGUUCAAAAAAAUCAAAUUCAUUUUGUAGAAAUAGAAGAUGAAGAGAUCUUUUCUAGUGCCUGAAACGUGGGUAUCUACACCUAUCAGUUCAGCUCGAGGAACCAAGCGUAUCCCGUACCAUUAUUUGUUGUUUCCUUUCAUUUUUUUAUUUUGUUGUAUCAUUAAGGGGUUUAUAUUAAGAAAUUAUUGCGCAAUUGAAUCAUAUUUUGAAUGUUUUCACAUGGGGUAUUUUUUAUAGGUAGUUACACACAUAUGGCUAAGUUUUUCCCUCAUCCUAAAAGUUACUUUAUGCCCGGGGCUUGCUUGAAUCCUCGCUCCGUCACUGUUGGUUAGCCAGACUCAUGCAUAAGCAUUAAGUCUGUAGUUCAAAACCCAGCUUGUGCGAUGCAAUUUUUUUGCGCUUUUUACGUCCGACAGCUCGGUUAGUUCAACUUAAAAUGGGCCAGCCGGGUUAAGCGCGCCCUGUACGAAGGGAUGUGUGUUUGCCUAAGAAUGUGGUGAAUAGGAGCUCUCCGGGAUGGACUAUCUAUUUUUUCAAACUUCACACCAGUGUACAUGCUAAUCUGAUGGGUAUAGGCCUAACUAUUUUUUGUGUUUUUUUCCUAAACAUAUCAGGCUGGGCCUCAAUAGUGCACGCAUCUAUGCAUGGGAAGCACAUCCGUCUCAGAAACUCCUUCCUUGAAGCUUAUAUUCAUAGCAUAUCAAUUGAGUUGAUUCCGCAAAGAAAAAACAAUUGAGUUGAAUAUGCCAGGAAUUUAUGUGCUGUAGGAUACAUAUGUUUGGCCAGAUUGAAUUAGGAUACUUUUGACUUGCAAGGAAUUUAUGUUCAGUACUGAUAAAUAUUGAAAUAGAAAAAC
Molecule: long non-coding RNA, 1568 nt
Filed under: Hordeum vulgare
Lineage: Eukaryota; Viridiplantae; Streptophyta; Magnoliopsida; Poales; Poaceae
Description: long non-coding RNA (HVUL_LNC018345)
Source: RNAcentral